Molecule: ribosomal RNA, 255 nt
Filed under: uncultured bacterium
Lineage: Bacteria
Description: partial 16S ribosomal RNA
Rfam family: Bacterial small subunit ribosomal RNA
Source: RNAcentral
UACGAAGGGGGCUAGCGUUGCUCGGAAUCACUGGGCGUAAAGGGUGCGUAGGCGGGUCUUUUAAGUCAGGGGUGAAAUCCUGGAGCUCAACUCCAGAACUGCCUUUGAUACUGAAGAUCUUGAGUUCGGGAGAGGUGAGUGGAACUGCGAGUGUAGAGGUGAAAUUCGUAGAUAUUCGCAAGAACACCAGUGGCGAAGGCGGCUCACUGGCCCGAUACUGACGGCUGAGGCACGAAAGCGUGGGGAGCAAACAGG